UGAUGAGAAGCUUGCUUCUCUGAUUUAGCGGCGGACGGGUGAGUAACACGUGGGCAACCUGCCCUGUAGACUGGGAUAACUUCGGGAAACCGGAGCUAAUACCGGAUAAUUCUUUUAGCCUCAUGGCUUUAAGCUAAAAGGCGCUUCGGCGUCACUACAGGAUGGGCCCGCGGUGCAUUAGCUAGUUGGUGGGGUAACGGCCUACCAAGGCAACGAUGCAUAGCCGACCUGAGAGGGUGAUCGGCCACAUUGGGACUGAGACACGGCCCAAACUCCUACGGGAGGCAGCAGUAGGGAAUCUUCCACAAUGGACGAAAGUCUGAUGGAGCAACGCCGCGUGAGUGAUGAAGGUUUUCGGAUCGUAAAACUCUGUUGUAAGGGAAGAACAAGUGCGUUAGGUAAUGAACGCACCUUGACGGUACCUUAUUAGAAAGCCACGGCUAACUACGUGCCAGCAGCCGCGGUAAUACGUAGGUGGCAAGCGUUGUCCGGAUUUAUUGGGCGUAAAGCGCGCGCAGGUGGUUUCUUAAGUCUGAUGUGAAAGCCCACGGCUCAACCGUGGAGGGUCAUUGGAAACU
This 578-nucleotide ribosomal RNA is filed under the name Kurthia sp. RNAcentral's name for it is "bacterial SSU rRNA". It matches the Rfam family "Bacterial small subunit ribosomal RNA", at positions 68 to 634 of the family's 1533-position model. Lineage: Bacteria; Bacillati; Bacillota; Bacilli; Caryophanales; Caryophanaceae. The record is from RNAcentral.